This 218-nucleotide ribosomal RNA is filed under the name Pneumocystis jirovecii. Its description in RNAcentral is "partial large subunit ribosomal RNA". It matches the Rfam family "Bacterial large subunit ribosomal RNA", at positions 854 to 1067 of the family's 2925-position model. The record is from RNAcentral. Lineage: Eukaryota; Fungi; Ascomycota; Pneumocystomycetes; Pneumocystales; Pneumocystaceae.
UUUCUGCGAAAUUGUUUUGGCAAUUGUUUAUUCCUCUAAAAAAUAGUAGGUAUAGCACUGAAUAUCUCGAGGGAGUAUGAAAAUAUUUAUCUCAGAUAUUUAAUCUCAAAAUAACUAUUUCUUAAAAUAAAUAAUCAGACUAUGUGCGAUAAGGUAGAUAGUCGAAAGGGAAACAGCCCAGAACAGUAAUUAAAGCUCCCCAAUUAAUAUUAAGUGAA